Non-coding RNA from Oncorhynchus mykiss (rainbow trout), 1129 nucleotides. Lineage: Eukaryota; Metazoa; Chordata; Actinopteri; Salmoniformes; Salmonidae. The record is from RefSeq and is a predicted model, not a curated record.
CAAUAUUUGCCCGAUAGCACAUAAAGGACUGGCUUUGGGGAAUCUAGAAACAUUUACAGCAUCUGUUACUCACAGGGCCUCUGUUAAUAAAAGCAUGUCAGACAACGAGUGCUGAUCUAGAAUCAGUUGUCCCUUUUUAGAAUAUAAUGAAUAAGAUUAUACGGUCAGAGAGGGUCUGAUCUUAGACCAGCACUACUACUUUGGGAUGAAAUGCUUUGUGAAUACGGGCCCUGAAUGCAUCUUAGAAUGAGUCCACUCUUAGCAAUAAUGUACUAACAUUAGACUAGAGAUUAAACAUGGACAUCUGUAACACUAGAAUGGACAUUGGCAUCCUGGCAACAUGGCUGUAGGACAGCCAUCUUGGUCAGGGGAAUCUUUCUUUCUAGAGACUCCUCCAACAUGGUGACACAGUACAUGGAUCUCUAUGGUCAGAACAUGGUACUGAUCCUCUAUGGUCAGAACAUGGUACUGAUCCUCUAUGGUCAGAACAUGGUACUGAUCCUCUAUGAUCAGAACAUGGUACUGAUCCUCUAUGGUCAGAACAUGGUACAGAUCACUAAAAUCAAAUCAAAUUGGUCAGAACAUGGUACUGAUCCUCUAUGGACAGAACAUGGUACAGAUCCUCUAUGGACAGAACAUGGUACAGAUCAUCUAUGGUCAGAACAUGGUACUGAUCACUAUGGUCAGAACAUGGUACAGAUCACUAUGAUCAGAACAUGGUACAGAUCACUCAUCAUGUAAAGUACCAUAAUCUUGUCUUACGAAUACACUGACACUGGAAAAACUGCUUAAAUAUCUUCAAUAUAUAUAUCUGCACAUGCAGUUCAUAUGUACAAAACAUUCAAUACAGGAGAUCUUACUGUAGAUAAUUCAGAGAGACAAAAAUACAACAAUACGAAUAAGAAGAAUAGAGUCACAACGUUCACCUUACGUUACAGUUCAAAUAGAUGUAGGGGAGGAGGUGACUGGGGGUAGAGGAGGUGACUGGGGGUAGAGGAGGUGGGCUGUUGGAGGAGGUGACUAGGGGUAGAGGAGGUGGGCUGUUGGAGGUGGUGACUAGGGGUAGAGGAGGUGGGCUGUUGGAGGAGGUGACUAGGGGUAGAGGAGGUGGGCUGUUGGAGGAGGUGAC